This 253-nucleotide ribosomal RNA is filed under the name uncultured bacterium. RNAcentral's name for it is "partial 16S ribosomal RNA". It matches the Rfam family "Bacterial small subunit ribosomal RNA", at positions 524 to 776 of the family's 1533-position model. The record is from RNAcentral.
UACGUAGGGUGCAAGCGUUGUCCGGAAUUAUUGGGCGUAAAGCGCGCGUAGGCGGACCUGCAAGUCGGGGGUGAAAGCCCGAGGCUCAACCUCGGAACUGCCUUCGAUACUGCGGGUCUCGAGUCCGGGAGAGGUGAGUGGAAUUCCUAGUGUAGAGGUGAAAUUCGUAGAUAUUAGGAAGAACACCAGUGGCGAAGGCGGCUCACUGGCCCGGUACUGACGCUGAGGCGCGAAAGCGUGGGGAGCAAACAGG